Long non-coding RNA from Astyanax mexicanus (Mexican tetra), 3353 nucleotides. RefSeq lists it as uncharacterized. The transcript is spliced from 5 exons. The record is from RefSeq and is a predicted model, not a curated record. NCBI's taxonomy places the organism in Eukaryota, Metazoa, Chordata, Actinopteri, Characiformes, Acestrorhamphidae.
GCAUUAAACAACCUGGGCGCACUAUCAUUGCACAGAAGUGUAAAUGGAAACUAAAAAUUACACUUAUUAUCAUAAAUAAAUACAAAAGCAGUUUGUAAUGAGCUAUAUUUACUAUAACUUUGCCAUGGUACAAUGAAUUAUGCACUCCAAAUCUAAUAACGUACAUCUACUGGAAUAUCACUGGGUACAUGCCCUAAAAUAGUGCUUCUUUUGUAUUUUUACAGUUAAAUAUUCAUUGGGGCAGCACGGUUCGACAAGGUAGCAGAAUUCGACAGAACGCCGGCCCUCUUUCUCCAGUCCAGCUCCGCCCGCCCUCUCAUCAACAGACUUUUGGAAGAAACCAAAGUCACUGGAAAAGAGGGGGAGAUCUGAGAUUUUGAGGCAUGAUAUUUAAUAUAAUUAAAAUAAUAUAUUUCACCGUUCCUAUUAAAUUAUGAUUAUUUACGUUUAUAUCUCACGUUUUAAUACAAUAUAACAUAUAAUGAAUAUAUUAAAACACACAAAUUAAAAACCUUUCGGGCAACAAAAAAACCCCGAACCUAGUUUUGAAUGGUCGUGGCUCCACUCCACUGAAUCAGUAGCCACAAGAAGGACGUCCUUUUCUCCGGGAGCUGCAUGGGGACUGCAGGAGUCCAAAGCCUCGCUGUGUUUUAUGGGGAACAGUUAUUAAUAUUGGGUCAAAUAAUCCAGUAUUUCUUCACUCUGGUGCUGAAGGUGCGCUGCGCUGCUCUUUACUGUGUUAACCCCUUUACUCUGUUUUCAUUUAAAGCCCCUCAGUCUUAAAACGGCGGCACUAGCGGGCCUCCAGCGGGCCUUCAGCACCGAUAGUGAUUAUUACCCUGCCGGAUUAGAUUAGAGCAGCGCGGCGGAGCUCUGUAAGUCCCGGUGACGCUGCAACUGGAUUUUAUAAAGAUAUGAGAGGAGAAUGCUUUCGUCGAGGAUUUAACAUGAAAAGGCCCAGUUCCAAAAGACACAACAUCCUCAGUGUCCUGGAGCUCCAGCUGAAGCACUGGCCACUCCACCUUCUCCAUCCCCACCCAAAAGAGGAAGAUCAGCAGCAGUGGAGGGUCCCAGGAUGUUGAGAUGGUAGUGCAGAGCGGUACUUCUAAGGCAGCUAGUUAAAGGCGUGAUUGAGGUCCAUGCCAGAGGGGUUCUGCACUGUGACCUCAAGCCAUAGAACAUCCUGGUUCAGAUGUACAGUUAGGAACCACGCCUUCAUCUUCUGUUCUUCUGGACCUUCCUCAUGAGUGGUUUACCCAUGAGGCCAAAUCCUCCACAGUGUUGCAGAUAGGAAUCAUCCUGCUGUGUGUGAGAGGUGACCCUUCAACACCAGCACGGAGAUCACCUCAAAGAAGUCUCAGAUCAUCUCUCCACCAUCUGCUCUAUGACCCCUGGCUAAGUAUACACCACGACACAGCCACCACAUCAGGCACACCUCAGUCAGGUACCAUAUAAAACAAUAAUAAUAAUAAUUUAAAAAAAUCUAUAUUUUCAAUCUCUAGUUUAGAGAGUUCUCUAGUAGAGCUGGGCGAUUAAUCGAUUUUAUCGAUAAAUUAGAAUUUAUAGUUAAGGACAAUGUGUUUUUUAUGAAAAUCGAUUUUCUCUGAGUUUUCUUUUUCACCACAGACGCUCCUCUGUGGGCACAGAGUGAGCUUAGCUAGCUCCCUCCAGCGCGCGCACCCCCCACCCCUCCCUCACUCCCUCCCUCCCACCCUUGCACGCACAAACACACACGCACACACACACACACAUACACAAAACACAUGACGGCGGAGCUUAAGAGCAACUAGCUCCGUGAUCUGGAGUUGGUUCGGUUUUGCGGCGUCGGACGUAGACCAAACAGGUCCUCGCUGUAAGGUGAACCAAUUUAUCACUAUACCUUAAACAGAACCAUGUAGCGGAGUGGGAGAAGUGCUGCUACCAUAGGAAUGAACGCAGCAGCAGCACUAGUUCACCAUUCAACGUUAAACAAGGAACUGUCCCUGGCACAUCUUCCAACCGUGUACCAGGUUCUGUAUGCACUACAAGUUAAGAUGUUUUGCAUAUUCAUGAGAAAAGAUCUCAUUUUAUAGAACACUGGCACUUAUUUAAAAGCUUUGUUUUGCAAUUCUAGCCCAAUAGGGAAAAGUAUUUACUUAAGAGCAUAUAAAUUGUACUUGUUUUCUAUUGUCUACUUUGUAAGUUUUAUCAAAAAAGGGCACCAUUUUAUUUAUUUCUAUUUGUUUUUAAGGGUGUGUUUAUUUAUUUAUUUUUUAAGUUUGAGGGUGCAUUGUGUCUACCUAAACUAUGUUGGAGAAAGCUUUCUAAAAGUCACUAGAUGUUCUCACUGUUUACAAUAGUUUUUUUUUGCUUGUUUCUGGUUGCACUUUAACCACAAAUGGAACAUUUUAAGUGAAAACAAAUUAAAUAAGAACUAGUUUUUAACCAUUUCUUUAUCAUCUUUAGUUUGAUUUUUAGUAGGGGAAAAAAUUGAUUUAAUUCGAAAAUUGGAUUUAAAAAAAAAAAAUCUAAGAUUUUUUUUUUUUUGGCCAUAUCGCCCAGCUCUAUACUCUAGUUUAGAGGGUUUUUUUAUAAAACACACCUAAGGAAAAUAGCAGGUAUUAAUAAAGCUAUUGAUUCCAUACUUUUAAAAAGGUAAUGAUUUUUCUUUAACUAUAUAAAUGUUUUAAUCGUUUUGUGUAUUGUAUGCUUUUAAUUGCUUCCUGUUUUGUAUUUGUGUUCAUGUACUUAAGGCUUUAAUCCUUUUAUCUUGAUAUUGUUUAUCUUUUGAUGUUUAUUAAUUACUUAACUGUAUUUCUUUAUGUAGUAUACUGUUAGUGUUUUAAUCUAUACACUUUUUGUAUAUAUUUAUUUUAUUGCUUAGUUACUUGCUUUAUUAAUGGUUAUUGUAUUGGUGUUUUAGUCUUAUUUUGGGCUUAUAUUCAUUAAAAACAUUUUAACGUUUGUCUUUUAGUGCUUUAAUCAAUUAAUAUUGUACUUACCUUUUACUAUUUUACUAUUAAUCUUUCUGUACUUAAUUAUACAUUAUUUUUUAUUUAUUUUUUUAUAAAAUUAAAGGCGGGUUUAUUAAUUGUAUGUAUUUAUACGGGAUUUUAUAUUUGCAUUGUAUAUAUUUUUGUUUCAUUUAAUGUUUAUGCUCUUUGUCUUUUUCAGAUUUUUACAUUUUUAAUUUGUGUAUUGACCCAAGGAGUAUGGGUUCCUCUCAAGGUUUCUAUCUCUCUUUCUGAGAGAAUUUUCUUUGCCGCUGUCUCCUUUGUGCUUACUCAAGAGGUUUGGACACUUUUUUUUUUUUUUUAACUGUUCUUAAUUUUGUUUGUUUCUUAACUUUGUCAAUAAAUGUUUUUUUAUUGCUA